GGGAGGAUCUCUCUAAAAUACAGGAUCCUUCGCUUGUAUCGCUGGCUUCCUCGCUUCCUCGGGUUGUGUUGAAUGCAAAGGCUCGAAAUACGACAGUCCGCUAUGCUUAUGGAUGGAACAGAUGGAAGAUCUGGUCCAAGUCUAAGAUUGGUGUUGCGUACCUUCCUGCUCAGCCUAUGUUCGUGGCGUUAUAUCUGCGUCAAUUCCUGGAUUCCGCCAAGACCACUUCACCUGUGGAUACUGCUGUGUAUAGCAUUCGUUGGGGGAAUAUUUUGGCCGGCUUACCCUCUCAGACACAGCCACCCGUUGGUUCAAUCUACCUACGAAGGCUGCCGACGAAUUCUCUCUCGACCAAGAGAACCUGAAGAUCCUGUCCAACC
Molecule: non-coding RNA, 380 nt
Organism: Paramuricea clavata
Lineage: Eukaryota; Metazoa; Cnidaria; Anthozoa; Malacalcyonacea; Plexauridae
Source: the annotation of a GenBank genome assembly